RNAcentral lists this ribosomal RNA (445 nucleotides) under uncultured bacterium. RNAcentral describes it as "partial 16S ribosomal RNA". It matches the Rfam family "Bacterial small subunit ribosomal RNA", at positions 29 to 523 of the family's 1533-position model. The record is from RNAcentral.
AACGAACGCUGGCGGCAGGCCUAACACAUGCAAGUCGAGCGCCCUUUCGGGGGAGCGGCGGACGGGGAGUAACGCGUGGGAAUAUGCCCUUCUCUACGGAAUAGCCUCGGGAAACUGAGAGUAUACCGUAUACGCCCUUAGGGGGAAAGAUUUAUCGGGGAAGGAUUAGCCCGCGUUGGAUUAGGUAGUUGGUGGGGUAAUGGCCUACCAAGCCGACGAUCCAUAGCUGGUUUGAGAGGAUGAUCAGCCACACUGGGACUGAGACACGGCCCAGACUCCUACGGGAGGCAGCAGUGGGGAAUCUUAGACAAUGGGGGCAACCCUGAUCUAGCCAUGCCGCGUGAGUGAUGAAGGCCUUAGGGUUGUAAAGCUCUUUCAGCUGGGAAGAUAAUGACGGUACCAGCAGAAGAAGCCCCGGCUAACUCCGUGCCAGCCGCCGCAGUAA